Molecule: ribosomal RNA, 466 nt
Filed under: uncultured bacterium
Lineage: Bacteria
Description: partial 16S ribosomal RNA
Rfam family: Bacterial small subunit ribosomal RNA
Source: RNAcentral
GACGAACGCUGGCGGCGCGCCUAACACAUGCAAGUCGAACGAGCGAGAGAGAGCUUGCUUUCUCGAGCGAGUGGCGAACGGGUGAGUAACGCGUGAGGAACCUGCCUCAAAGAGGGGGACAACAGUUGGAAACGACUGCUAAUACCGCAUAAGCCCACGGUGCCGCAUGGCACAGAGGGAAAAGGAGCAAUCCGCUUUGAGAUGGCCUCGCGUCCGAUUAGCUAGUUGGUGAGGUAAUGGCCCACCAAGGCGACGAUCGGUAGCCGGACUGAGAGGUUGAACGGCCACAUUGGGACUGAGACACGGCCCAGACUCCUACGGGAGGCAGCAGUGGGGAAUAUUGCACAAUGGGGGAAACCCUGAUGCAGCGACGCCGCGUGGAGGAAGAAGGUCUUCGGAUUGUAAACUCCUGUUGUUGGGGAAGAUAAUGACGGUACCCAACAAGGAAGUCACGGCUAACUACGUG